This is a non-coding RNA of Mus musculus (house mouse), 73 nucleotides long. NCBI's taxonomy places the organism in Eukaryota, Metazoa, Chordata, Mammalia, Rodentia, Muridae. The record is from the annotation of a RefSeq genome assembly.
GUUUUUGUAGUGUAGCGGUUAUCACGCUCGCCUCACACGCGAGAGGUCCUCGGUUCAAAACCCAGUGGAAACA